UUUUGGGCAAUGGGCGAAAGCCUGACCCAGCAACGCCGCGUGAAGGAUGAAGUAUUUCGGUAUGUAAACUUCGAAAGAAUGGGAAGAAUAAAUGACGGUACCAUUUAUAAGCUCCGGCUAACUACGUGCCAGCAGCCGCGGUAAUACGUAGGGAGCAAGCGUUGUUCGGAUUUACUGGGCGUAAAGGGCGCGUAGGCGGCGCGGUAAGUCACUUGUGAAAUCUCUGAGCUUAACUCAGAACGGCCAAGUGAUACUGCAGUGCUAGAGUGUAGAAGGGGCAAUCGGAAUUCUUGGUGUAGCGGUGAAAUGCGUAGAUAUCAAGAGGAACACCUGAGGUGAAGACGGGUUGCUGGUCUAACACUGACGCUGAGGCGCGAAAGCCAGGGGAGCAAACGG
This 396-nucleotide ribosomal RNA is filed under the name uncultured bacterium. RNAcentral's name for it is "bacterial SSU rRNA". It matches the Rfam family "Bacterial small subunit ribosomal RNA", at positions 362 to 775 of the family's 1533-position model. The record is from RNAcentral.